RNAcentral lists this transfer RNA (64 nucleotides) under Aotus nancymaae (Ma's night monkey). It matches the Rfam family "tRNA". Rfam says of the family: Transfer RNA (tRNA) molecules are approximately 80 nucleotides in length. Their secondary structure includes four short double-helical elements and three loops (D, anti-codon, and T loops). The record is from Rfam by way of RNAcentral. Lineage: Eukaryota; Metazoa; Chordata; Mammalia; Primates; Aotidae.
GGCAGAGUGGAGAAAAGAGCAUGGAUCUUGAUCUAGAUUCUAGGUUCAAAUCCUGGCUCUGCCA